This 142-nucleotide non-coding RNA is filed under the name Mitsuokella sp. oral taxon 131 str. W9106. RNAcentral's name for it is "Molybdenum/Tungsten riboswitch aptamer (Moco RNA motif)". It matches the Rfam family "Molybdenum/Tungsten riboswitch aptamer (Moco RNA motif)". Lineage: Bacteria; Bacillati; Bacillota; Negativicutes; Selenomonadales; Selenomonadaceae. RNAcentral also lists the same sequence under 1 other name. The record is from Rfam by way of RNAcentral.
ACUAAGCGAGUACUCCGAGCAAAAGUGUCUAACGGGCAACGCGCCCCAUGGCACUGCGCCUGAGCCGCCCCAUGCGGCUCACAGGGCGGCAGGGGAAACCCUGCCGCCUUCCGUGUUGAAAAGGAGCACAGGCAACGUACCG